Molecule: long non-coding RNA, 4729 nt
Filed under: Sus scrofa (pig)
Lineage: Eukaryota; Metazoa; Chordata; Mammalia; Artiodactyla; Suidae
Description: lncRNA (ENSSSCG00000059168.1)
Source: RNAcentral
CAUCUUGCAGCAAUGCCAGAUCCUUAACCCACUCACUGAGCGAGGCCAGGGACCAAAUCCACAUCCUCACUGACACUAUGUGAGGUUCUUAACCCACUGAGCCGCAGCAGGAAUUCCUUGUGUGUGCUGCUUUAAUUUGUAAAUGUGGUAAAUGGUAACAGUUUCUGAUAUUAAACCUCCCUUAUAUUUGAAGGAUAAAUUCAAUUUUGUCAUGAUAUCAUCUUAUAUCUCAUUGCAUUUGGUUUGUAAAUUCUGGAUUUUUGCACCUACCGUCAUAAGAGAUAAUCUUGAGAUGCUUCCUUUCCUGUAUUGUCCAUAUUUUUUUUGAUUUCAAAAUUAUCUUGGCCUCAUCAAUUGAUAUUUCUUCUUUUCAGUUCUUGGAAAUGUUUGCAUAGAGUUGUAGUCAUCUGAACCUUAAAUGUUUGGUGAAAUUUACCUGGAAAACUAUUAAGGACGGAGUUUACUUUGUGAGAAAAUCUUCAACCACUAAUUCCCUUAAUGUGUUGUUUUUUUCUCAUCCUGUGGAAAUUUUGCCUCCCAGGGGUCACAUGACACUGUCUGGAGACAUUUCAGGUUGUCACAUGUCACAGAUGGUAUCUAGCUGUGCUUAUAAACAUCUAAAUGCCCAGACAGUUGCCCCUGUUACACUAAUCAAGAGGUAUCUGAUCCACAUGUAGUGGCAAAAUUGACAAACCCUGAAUUAACUAAUAUUAGAAGAUUUUCAUUGCAUUAUUUUGGAAUGUUAUGGUUUUCUGUCAAUUUGACCAUUUAUCUAGAGUUUCCAAUAAAUCAACAUGAAGCUUUUUUCAUGGUAUUCUCUAAAUUAGCAUUUUAAGCAAAAUUGAGAAAGCCUGGAGAAUAAAUACAUCAUAUUCGUACUGCAAUACUAUUUUAAACACUAGUGGAAUUUUUUAUUUAUUUUUAACACAAAGGUUUAUUUUGAUUAAAGCAAAACAUCUUGAAGAAUACAGUAAUGAGAAAGCAAAAUACUUGGAGAUAAAGAUUCACAAUUAACCACUAUGAAAAUACAUUCAUGUAUAUCUACCCUAGAAUGCAGGCCACUUUGGGGUAGUUUUGUUUAUUACAGUUCUUUGUACAAAUGUAUUCUGAAAGGCAGUUUAUUUUCUAAAUCAACUAAAAACACAAAAUUGAUAAUUUACAACAAAUAUUUCAAUUAUUUUAGUAAUUCUCAUUAGUGAGUAAAUGGUUAAACUGUGUGACAUUUAAGCUGACCUUUAAAGAAAGUUUUUAAAACCUAAGCAAAGAGUGAACUUAAGUCCAAUGUCAUUUAUAGAAAUAUGUAUUAUAAUUCUAUCAUUGUAGAUAUAUAAAUUCAACUCAAAUGAAAAAUAAAACAGCUAAACAGUAGGACUUAGAAAUUAACUGGCUUCAAUCUAUUAAAUAUACACUAUUUUUCCUAUAAAAAUAUACCUUUAUAAAAAUAAAACUCCCACCAUCAUAAAACACAUUACUUGACUUCAGGGGAGAAAAAAUGACAUUGUUUUUUGGUCCUGUCUGCCAUUUUUUUAAAAGGACUUCAGGAAAGAGAAUGCAGACAUUGCUUUGACCACCAUGACAAUGAAGUAAGCCAUUGAAUACCAUGCACUUUCACACAAUAUAGUAGCAAUUAUAAGGGAGAGUAUUCUCCAAUUAGACAAUACUCAUUGCAGUCACCAUUCAACUAGACCUGAUCGCCCCUCUAUGGGCUUCAGCAGAGGUACUGAGAUGCAAAGCAAACACCUAGUGAUUCAAGUAUCAAUCUUGAUAAGUAACAAAACUGUAUAGUUUAGAUUAAAAUAGGAUCAUGAAUAACAAAUGGAUCUACAUAUAGUUUUAACUAAAACUGGCUCCCACAAAUGCAAAUAAUAAGCAAAGAAUGUAACAACUUGGGAUAAUUUUCAAUGGACCCGUCUGUCUCUCUGAGACAAUGGUGAAUUACUUAACCACCCUUGAACUACCAUCUAUCUUUCUGAACUGAAUCUUCUUUUUCUGUGCAUUCCUUGCUCCUCCAUCACUCAGCAUUCCUAAGUCUUGGUUCACAGUAAUCUGCAACACUCCAGAAUGGUUUGUGAUAAUCCAGUCCUCUCUGUCCUGUGUCAUCACUGAUGAUGACUUUAGUCUUUGCCUAAAACUGUUCAGUCUUUGAAGAACAGACUUCAUGAACCACAUUUUUGUCACUUGAGCUAUUUCUGUACUUUAUUGCUAAUUGUUCCAGCCAGGCUAAUGCUGGAGGUGUAACUCUCCUUCAACAUGUUCUGAGGGAAAAAAAUAUCUGCUGAAAAAUGCCUGUAAAUAUCUGUGAAUAACUUUCGGGGUUGUGAGGUGUCUUAGGUGGUUUUCUUAGUUUUGGUGAAUACUGAGCAAUCUUUGGUCAUGGUGUCACCUGGAAGACUUUCCCUUUAUUACUAAUAAGGUUUUUACAGUCUCUCCCCUCAAACCCCAGCCAUUUCUUAGAACGUAUGGUGCAGGAGAUUUCAGAGCUUCACAGACUGCUUUUAACGAUCAACCAAGUGAAUUAACUUUUAGUUGAUGGGAAUGUAAAUAGGUGCAACUACUAUGGAGGACAGUAUGGAGAUUCCUUAAAAAAUUAAAUAUAGCACUACCAUAUGACCCAGCAAUCCCAUUCCUGGACAUAUGUCUGGAGAAAACCAUAACUUAAAAGAAUACAUACACCCCAAUGUUCAUUACAGCACUAUUUACAAUAGGAAAGACAGGUAAGAAACAUAUAUUUCCAUCAACAGAGGACUGGAUAAAGAAGAUGUGCUACUUAUAUACGAUGGAAUAUUAUUCGGCCCUAAAAAAGAGAAUGAAGUAAUGCCAUUUGUAGCAAUAUGGUUGGACCUAGAGAUUAUCUUAGUAAGCGAAGGAAAUCAGACAGAGAAAGACAAAUAUCAUAUGAGAUCACUAAUAUGUAGAAUCUAAUAAAAAUGAUACAAAAGAACUUAUUCACAAAACAGAAACAGACUCAAAGAUUUCCAAACCAAACUUAUGGUAACUGAAGGGGAAAUGUUGGGGGGAGGGAUAAAGUGGAAGGUUGGGAGUGACAUAUACAAACUACUAUAUACAAAAUUGAUAAGUAACAAGGACCUACUAUAUAGCACAGAAAAAUCUACUCAAUACUCUGUGAUGGCUUAUGUGGGAAAAGAAUCUGAAAAAAAAAGGAUAUAUGCGUAUGUAUAACUGAUUCACCUUGCUGUACACCUGAAGCUAACACAACACAUUUAAGUUAGCUAUACUCCAAAAAUAUUAAAAAGAAAACUUUUCGAAGCACCAUGAGCAUUUGAUGUACUAUAGAAUAUUAGUGCCCUUUUAAUUUUUAGAUUUAGAAGAAAAGUAUAUCCCCCAGACCUGAAAUUGGCAACUCAAUGAGAGCCCAACUCCUGAACAUUGUAUAUCUUGGGGGAUUUUAACGGUAUACAAUUUAUAGGAAAUACGUACAUACAAAAUAUAUUAUACAAUACCAUGAGCAAAUAUGCUACUGUGAUGUUAACAUAUCCCAAAUAGAUGUGAACAGUCUUAAUGUCUUUAUUUAUUUAUUUAUUUAUUUAUUUUUGCACAUUGUGGAUUCUCAAUGCAUAACUUUUUUUUUUUUUUAAUUUUCCCACUGUACAGCAAGGGGGUCAGGUUAUCCUUACAUGUAUACAUUAAUGUCUUUAAAUAUCUUACACAAACUACAUCAGUUUUUUAUAUGAGAUAAAAUUAACUCAUCAUAGAUAAUAAAAUGGAAUAUAAAUUAUAGCAAAGAGUCAUAGGGAGGCAGUUCACUCACUGUCCAAGCUAGAUAAUUAGCUAAGCCUUCUUGGGAAUGAAAGUAAAUGCAAAUUGUUGAAACAUGAGGACUAAAAAACUUACACAGUGAUUCAAAUGUCCCUAUAUCUUCACAUCUAAUAAUUACAAAAUGGAAUAAUGUCUAUUACUGGGUCAUUCUUCUUGGACUUCAAUUACCUGUAUCUAAAAGAAAAUAUUUUAAAGAAUAUCCAACAAGUGUACUUUUUACCCUGAAUUACUGAAAUUCUAGUUUUCCUCAAUAUUUUCUUUAAUGUAAUUUUGAAAUCAUUUUAAAUAUUCUGCAAGAUGGAUUUAUUCAAUUUAUACUUGAAAAAUGUACAUACGGAAGUUGCACCAGAAGUCUGAACAUGCAUUUUAAAAUAUUUCAGAAGCAAAACCAGAUAGAAUAAGUUCACAUGAAUAUUCAUGAUGUGAAUACUAACUAUUGAGGGAUUCCUGUAUUUCUCUUUGAAAUUUCAUCUAACUUAAAUGUUAUACUUUUUAUGCUAUGGAAACUAUAAAACAUCUGUAAGGUAAUCAAUGCUUUUAAUAACUCUAAGUAUAAGCAGUUAGGCUUGUUUGAUGCAGGUUGUGAUAUACUGUAACAUAGCAAUGUUGUCAUAGUGAAAUGUAUAUUGAGCCUUAAUACACUGGUAAGUACCACCAGACAUUUUCAUCUCUAAUGCAAGAAUAGAGGGGUUUUUUAAUUCCCCACCCACACUCAUACUUAUUUUUAAGUUUUCCCACAAGUAAAAUAAGAAUAACCAUUAAUAUAUAAGCAUCUGUUAAGGCUAAAAAAAAAACUAUAGUCCCUAAAAGAAAUGCUCAUUCAAACAGAGAAAGACUGUUUGAGAAAGACUGAUUCAAAUUGAGCUGACUGGAUUCAAUUCUCAAGGUAUAAAUAUUCUCUAGGAAUACGACAGCACAGCCAGAAGAAAAUCUUUUAUAUCCUAAUGAGUUU